This 483-nucleotide ribosomal RNA is filed under the name uncultured Bacillus sp. RNAcentral describes it as "bacterial SSU rRNA". It matches the Rfam family "Bacterial small subunit ribosomal RNA", at positions 900 to 1382 of the family's 1533-position model. The record is from RNAcentral. Lineage: Bacteria; Bacillati; Bacillota; Bacilli; Caryophanales; Bacillaceae.
CUUAAAUGAAUUGACGGGGCCGCACAAGCGGUGGAGCAUGUGGUUUAAUUCGACGCAACGCGAAGAACCUUACCAGGGCUUGACAUCCCCUGACCGCGUAUGAAAGUACGUUUUCACCCUCGGGUGACAGGGAGACAGGUGGUGCAUGGUUGUCGUCAGCUCGUGUCGUGAGAUGUUGGGUUAAGUCCCGCAACGAGCGCAACCCCUACGUUUAGUUGCUAACGCGUGAAGGCGAGCACUCUAGACGAACUGCCGUUGGCAAAACGGAGGAAGGUGGGAUGACGUCAAAUCAUCAUGCCCCUUAUGUUCUGGGCUACACACGUGCUACAAUGGCCGGUACAGACGGACGCAAAGCCGCGAGGUGGAGCAAAUCCUAAAAAGCCGGUCUCAGUUCGGAUUGCAGGCUGCAAUUCGCCUGCAUGAAGUCGGAAUCGCUAGUAAUCGCAGGUCAGCAUACUCGCGGUCGAAUACGUUCCGGGCCUU